This 20-nucleotide small nuclear RNA is filed under the name Arabidopsis thaliana (thale cress). RNAcentral describes it as "snRNA_14709". The record is from RNAcentral. Lineage: Eukaryota; Viridiplantae; Streptophyta; Magnoliopsida; Brassicales; Brassicaceae.
AGAUUAAUGUAAAAUUGUGA